RNAcentral lists this ribosomal RNA (345 nucleotides) under uncultured fungus. RNAcentral describes it as "SSU rRNA". It matches the Rfam family "Eukaryotic small subunit ribosomal RNA", at positions 20 to 370 of the family's 1831-position model. The record is from RNAcentral. Lineage: Eukaryota; Fungi.
GUAGUCAUAUGCUUGUCUCAAAGAUUAAGCCAUGCAUGUCUAAGUAUAAGCAAUUAUACAGCGAAACUGCGAAUGGCUCAUUAUAUAAGUUAUCGUUUAUUUGAUAGUACCUUACUACUUGGAUAACCGUGGUAAUUCUAGAGCUAAUACAUGCUAAAAAUCCCGACUUCGGAAGGGAUGUAUUUAUUAGAUUAAAAACCAAUGCCCUCUGGGCUCCUUGGUGAUUCAUGAUAACUUCUCGAAUCGCAUGGCCUUGUGCCGGCGAUGGUUCAUUCAAAUUUCUUCCCUAUCAACUUUCGAUGUUUGGGUAGUGGCCAAACAUGGUUGCAACGGGUAACGGGGAAU